This 338-nucleotide ribosomal RNA is filed under the name uncultured Aminicenantes bacterium. RNAcentral's name for it is "bacterial SSU rRNA". It matches the Rfam family "Bacterial small subunit ribosomal RNA", at positions 349 to 688 of the family's 1533-position model. Lineage: Bacteria; Candidatus Aminicenantota. The record is from RNAcentral.
CAGCAGUGAGGAAUAUUGCGCAAUGGGCGAAAGCCUGACGCAGCGACGCCGCGUGGAGGAUGAAGGUCUUCGGAUUGUAAACUCCUGUCAGAGGAGAAGAAAGCCCGAGCAAUCGGGUUUGACGGUAUCCUCAGAGGAAGCCCCGGCCAACUACGUGCCAGCAGCCGCGGUAAUACGUAGGGGGCAAACAUUGCUCGGAAUUAUUGGGCGUAAAGGGUGUGUAGGUGGCUGAGCAAGUCAAAGAUGAAAUACCGAGGCUCAACCUCGGAAUUGUUUUUGAAACUGCUCAGCUUGAGGAUAGUAGAGGAGAACGGAAUUCCCGGUGGAGCGGUGAAAUG